This is an RNA transcript of Pelobates fuscus (common spadefoot toad), 2794 nucleotides long. It is a transcript of the gene named sorbitol dehydrogenase, with no coding region annotated. Lineage: Eukaryota; Metazoa; Chordata; Amphibia; Anura; Pelobatidae. The transcript has 11 exons. The record is from RefSeq and is a predicted model, not a curated record.
AGAAUUCAGAAGCAUGGUUUCAGAAUGUUGCAGUAAUAGGGUCAAAAGCUAAAACCAAGUCAGGCAAACAGAAGCUUCUGAUAAACCUUUAGCCUGAAGGUCCGAAGUAGAGUUAAAAACAACACUAGCCAGCAAAGAAAGAGAACAUUCAGUCAGACUGAAAGACGACAAUGGCAGCAAUGAAACCUGGACAGGAUAGUGGGAAUUUAUCUGUCGUGGUCCAUGGAAUCGGAGAUCUGCGUCUGGAAAAUCGUCCAGUACCCAUACCAGGUCCAAAUGAGGUCUUGCUGAAGAUGCAUUCUGUCGGAAUAUGUGGUUCAGAUGUCCAUUACUGGCAACAUGGUCGCAUUGGAGAUUUUAUUGUAAAAAACCCAAUGGUUUUAGGACACGAAGCUUCUGGAAGAGUGGUCAAAGUCGGUUCCUCAGUUACUCACUUGAAACCUGGUGACAGAGUGGCUAUAGAGCCCGGGGUUCCACGUGAGACAGAUGAAUUCUGCAAGACAGGCCGCUACAAUUUGUCUCCCACCAUUUUUUUCUGUGCAACACCUCCCGAUGAUGGCAACCUAUGUAGAUAUUACACGCACCAUGCAAACUUCUGCUACAAGCUUCCAGAUAAUGUAACAUUCGAAGAGGGUGCGCUCAUUGAACCUCUUUCCGUGGGAAUCCAUGCCUGUAGGAGAGCUGGAGUGACUCUUGGUAGCAAAGUCUUCAUCUGUGGUGCAGGGCCCAUCGGACUGGUUUCUCUUCUGGUAGCAAAAAUGAUGGGUGCUUCACAAGUAGUGAUAAGUGAUUUAUCUUCCACUCGACUGGAGAAGGCUAGAGAAGUUGGGGCAGAUUUUGCUCUACAUGUCACCAAUGAGACACCACAAGAGAUAGCACAGAAGGUGGAAACCUUGCUAGGUUGCAUGCCAGAGAUUACAAUUGAGUGCACAGGAGCAGAAACAUGUAUUCAAACUGGAAUUUAUGCGACACGCUCUGGCGGUACUUUAAUCCUCGUUGGCCUCGGUCCUGCAAUGGUAAAUGUGCCUAUAGUAAAUGCAGCUGUGCGAGAAGUAGAUAUCAGAGGCAUUUUCAGAUACUGUAAUACGUGGCCAAUGGCUAUUUCCAUGCUGUCAUCCAAGAGAGUGAAUGUCGCUCCAUUGGUUACUCACCGUUUUCCUUUGGAGAAAGCUCUUGAGGCCUUUGAAACAACAAAGCAAGGCCUGGGAGUGAAAGUGAUGCUAAAGUGUGAUGAGAAUGAUCAAAAUCCUUGAAUACUGAAGUUAAUUCUUAAGUUAAUGUUUAAUGUUUUCAUUCCUUGUUCUUGUUGAUUAGAAUUUAAAAGCAAAUAUAUAUAGCUUAUCUUUUAAAGCAUAUAUCGAUCAGACCUUUACCGUUUAAAUACGCAACCAUCAAUGACAUGAGAUUAUACAUUAUGAGGCAUCUUCCCCUCCCAAAUUAAAUUAACAGAACUAAUUUAAUCUUUCAGAACUAAAUCUAGAGAACUCUGUAUAAAUGAAAACGUCAUCCUCUUGGGAAAUGUUUUCUCAACCUAGUUAACACCUUGAUCUUGAGUUAAAGUGGCUCAUUCACCUUCUGAAGUGACAGCCAGAGACAGUUUUCAGCUCCUUUUUGGUGGUGACAGAGCCACUUUAAAGUGUUCCACUUGAGAAAGUGGUUUAAGAUGUCUUUUACAAAAACUCUCUUCAUCUAUAAAAUUGCUCCCCUGGAUCAUUGACUUCCACUCAAGAAUUUUACUUGCCCCUUUACAAUUCAAUAUUUGCCCCACUGGUAUGUUGAGCAUUAAGAAUCCAAUCUACAAUUAUGGUUAUUUAGUGGUUGGCUAUAUCUUUGUUGGCAGCAGUCCACUGAGCAAGUCCAUUGAACAGAUACAUCCCAUAAACUGCUGCUGGUCCAAGACUUAUGAGAUAGGAAAAAAAAAAACCUCAUAGACCAGAUUUGGAGACAUUUAAUUGGUUCAUUCCUGGUUGUGGAUGUCAUUGCAGGGAAGUGCUGCUGUUCAUCAAAAAUGUAGGUCAGUCCUUGCAUAUUAUCUCCUUAUAAUUGAAACCUGGAUGGAACCAAUUAUGUAACAUGGAUUAACAGCGUUGGGAAAAGUUCAAGUCAAGAUGAAAUGUGUCCCCUGCCACCUACCUUAUCCACUUCUGGUCUUCAUUUAGCAGGCUGGAUCUAAUGUUUUUAAAAUGUUGUUGUAUGCAGUAGUCUGAUGAUUUAUAUGGUUCACGGUAAUGAUCUACUGGUUACAUAUUAAAAAAGGUUUGCUGCUACUUCCUCCAUAAUGGUUAUCACUGUGGUUUGAGACUUUCAUCUGCGAUUGCUAAUAAUGGCAUCCCUCAGUGCAUAGUGUUUAAGCACAUUCUAGGUCAGGGGUGCCCAAAAGAUAGAUCACCAGAUGUUUUAAAACUACAGCUUUCAUGAUGAUUUGCCAUUCUGAAGGCAUUUCAAAUGCAUGCAAAGCAUAAUGGGAAUUGUAGUUCUGCAACAUCUGGGGGUCUACCUUUUGGGCACCCCUAUUCUAGGUGUUGUAGGAUGCCAGUGUUAACAUUUGUAGUUCAUACCUCAAUUCUGGUGGCAUACAGGUACAAUUGUUCGCUUUUUAUUUACCCAAUUAGGGUUUACCUGUAUGUUUACUAGUAAUAAUUUAUCACGGUCUAUACAUAAAAUGACUAUAUCUAUGGAGAAUUAUUGCUUUACUGGUACAGUUUAAUGCCACUUGAAUGGAUCCUUAAUAAAUGUGUCUGUUAUUAUUCAAAUAUUAACUAUAAAUAAUGUAAUUAAAAAAUGUAAAUCCCAA